RNAcentral lists this ribosomal RNA (440 nucleotides) under uncultured bacterium. RNAcentral describes it as "partial 16S ribosomal RNA". It matches the Rfam family "Bacterial small subunit ribosomal RNA", at positions 338 to 795 of the family's 1533-position model. The record is from RNAcentral.
CCUACGGGCGGCAGCAGUGGGGGAUAUUGCACAAUGGGGGGAACCCUGAUGCAGCGACGCCGCGUGGGUGAAGAAGCGCCUCGGCGCGUAAAGCCCUGUCAGCAGGGAAGAAAAUGACGGUACCUGAAGAAGAAGCCCCGGCUAACUACGUGACAGCAGCCGCGGUAAUACGUAGGGGGCAAGCGUCAUCCGGAUUGACUGGGUGGAAAGGGGGCGCAGACGGCGAUGCAAGCCAGGAGUGAAAGCCCGGGGCCCAACCCCGGGACUGCUCUUGGAACUGCGUGGCUGGAGUGCAGGAGGGGCAGGCGGAAUUCCUGGUGUAGCGGUGAAAUGCGUAGAUAUCAGGAGGAACACCGGUGGCGAAGGCGGCCUGCUGGACUGCAACUGACGUUGAGGCCCGAAAGCGUGGGGAGCAAACAGGAUUAGAUACCCGAGUAGUC